UGGUCCGUCCGGAAGGAGUUUAAGGAUCUGAUCCUUGUGUACGUGGCAACGUUUGAGUGGGACGGGUUCUGUUUGUGCUGGGCUGGGUUGAAAAAAAUUAGGUCAUUCUCGACCGAGACAGAAAAAAAAAGAAGCUCUCGACGAUUAGGCGGAAAACUGGUACUACCAAACUUGUCGGAUCCAGUCGGAUCUCCGCCCGAUCCAAGACGUUCUCGCCGAAUUCAACUCCAAGUUCACCCGCUCUCGUUACUUCCCCGUCUGCUCCUCUCUUCCCAUCCUCUUACAGGCACGUGCUCUCGUCCCCCUCCCGUUACCGAGCUCUGUUCUCGAUUUCGUGACAGUAGCGAGCUCUGGUGGGCGGAUGCAAAGGAUUUGAUUUUGAAUCUAGGGUUUUACUGAGUGUUCGAAUUUAUAGGCUGCUUGUAAUAACGAUGUCUAUUGCGUUUUGUAGGCUGCUUGUAAUGGCAAGCGGAGAAGUAUGAGAGAGCUUUCCUUCUCCACCUGUUUCAGUGGAAUAGCUACAACAACGCUAAAGAGAUUCUCAAACUGUCAGCUGCUGAUUAUAUCAAAACGUUUGAUCCUUUAACUAAUGUAAGAGCGGAUGACGCAUAGAGACAUCUUAUAUAUUCUAAUUACAUCUCUAAUCCAUCUUAUCUUCCUCGCAACUGUUCCUGUAUCAUGCCUAACACUACUUGGAGAAACUUUUCUGGUUAGUGAUUUAGUAUGUUGAUGUUCUGUCAGGAAUUUUCCCGAGCUAGGAGAGCUGCAACGAGAGUAUGGCAAUAAAGCUGAUGGACCAUCUAGUCACGUGUUUGCCGACUAUGCUCUCAAAAGCUAUUGCAUGAUCCUGAUGUUCCUCGUGGGUGCGAUCCUAACUCUCCAGAGUACGAAACCGAUGAGUUAGGGGGUUCCGGUUCUUGUUAACCGCUAUAUAGAUUUAACUAUGAUCAUUUUCUCGCAAGCUUCCAGUUUUCCGUGUUUUAUUAUCAAUUGCCAGUUUUUAGUUCUUAUCUUCCUCUCUACCAAACUUGUUUCCUCUCUAGCUAGUUAUCUCUUUCGGUUUGUUUCGUCUCUAUCAGAACUUGUUUCCUUUCUUUCCUUUUGGUACUACUGUAAAAUCUUGUUGCUACAACUCGAAGUUGCCACAAGUGUAAUCUUGUUUCUUAUCUUAUAUGCUUCUCUUAUGUUGUUUU
Molecule: long non-coding RNA, 1193 nt
Organism: Brassica rapa (field mustard)
Lineage: Eukaryota; Viridiplantae; Streptophyta; Magnoliopsida; Brassicales; Brassicaceae
Source: RefSeq, a predicted model, not a curated record